GAUGAACGCUGGCGGCGUGCCUAAUACAUGCAAGUCGAGCGAACAGACGAGGAGCUUGCUCCUUUGACGUUAGCGGCGGACGGGUGAGUAACACGUAGGUACCCUACCUAUAAGACUGGGAUAACUUCGGGAAACCGGAGCUAAUACCGGAUAAUAUUUCGAACCGCAUGGUUCGAUAGUGAAAGAUGGCUUUGCUAUCACUUAUACAUGGACCUGCGCCGUAUUAGCUAGUUGGUAAGGUAACGGCUUACCAAGGCAACGAUACGUAGCCGACCUGAGAGGGUGAUCGGCCACACUGGAACUGAGACACGGUCCAGACUCCUACGGGAGGCAGCAGUAGGGAAUCUUCCGCAAUGGGCGAAAGCCUGACGGAGCAACGCCGCGUGAGUGAUGAAGGUCUUCGGAUCGUAAAACUCUGUUAUUAGGGAAGAACAAACGUGUAAGUAACUGUGCACGUCUUGACGGUACCUAAUCAGAAAGCCACGGCUAACUACGUG
Molecule: ribosomal RNA, 497 nt
Filed under: uncultured bacterium
Lineage: Bacteria
Description: partial 16S ribosomal RNA
Rfam family: Bacterial small subunit ribosomal RNA
Source: RNAcentral